RNAcentral lists this long non-coding RNA (714 nucleotides) under Sparus aurata (gilthead seabream). RNAcentral describes it as "lncRNA (ENSSAUG00010011134.1)". Lineage: Eukaryota; Metazoa; Chordata; Actinopteri; Spariformes; Sparidae. The record is from RNAcentral.
ACUUAUUAAUUUAUAUAGGAUGCUGAAGCAUGUAAUCACCUUACUGUUGUUGUUUUUUUUUUGGUGGUAUGAAAUCUGUUUCCAUGGAAAUACACUGGGAAUAUUCAAAUGAGGUGUUAUUCAUGAGCUGAACGUUUGUAAAGCACAGUAGCAGACGCUGCUGUAAACUAACAGUCUUCUUUGCCUUUAAGUGCCUGUGAACAAUACCUGGAUGUGAUGAGUGAGCAGCACUGCUUGCAGCUCCAACACCGCUCACUACGACUUCACCGCUUUUCCAUAACGUCUGCCAAGGUCACAUCCAUUUGUCGUCAGCCGCUAAAUCUGGUCACGGUGUCGAUCCCGGCCGACACUGGCCGAGAGUCGGGGUACAUUCAGGACACGUCGCCCUGUUCAUCACAGAUAUGAGGGGCGACGGGGGAAUAUUGUAGUACUGUACUAUCCAAAGCCAUUAGAGAGCACAGCCUCAUAAGUCCGCUGUAAUUGGUCAGGGAGUGAUAAUGAGCUUGUUCCCGCUGAGGAGGCGUGACUGGACGCAGAAACAGAAGAGUCCAAAUAACACAAUUAAUUGGAAGGCCCUGUCCUUCACUCUGGACCUGAUGCUAAAAUAAAAAUGGUUCACAAUCCUCUGGGAGGUGAUGACAGUUGAUUUGAGGAUGUCACCACUGCUGUAACGUCCCCAACCUUCACUGAAGAGUUACAUGUUUUUUGUAUUUG